AGGUUCCUUCUCUGUUUAUACCAAACGUGUCUGAGCAAGAAAUCGGUGACAAAUACAUUCCUGCCGAGUUCAAGUCGGAUACAGUAGCAAAUACACCAUCAGACCGUGCAGUGAACUGAUAGUCGCCAUGCAAGACCCUGAUGCCGGCGUUGCACUCGGCGAGCACAAGAAUGGACUGAAAACAUACAAAGACUGUUUUGCUGGUUGUGAGUUAAUUGAGUGGUUGUUGUCGUGGUUGUUUGUCACAAUGAGGGAGGAAGGAUGUCAAUUAGCAAACAGUCUGUUGAACGAAGCGUAUCUUGAGCCGGUGGGAGGGUUGAGUUCCAUGAUCAGCAACAUGUUGACCAGUAGGAUGUUUAAUCCAUUCUAAUUCACAUAAAAAUAUCACUAAACAACUAAUCA
Long non-coding RNA from Corticium candelabrum, 402 nucleotides. RefSeq lists it as uncharacterized. Lineage: Eukaryota; Metazoa; Porifera; Homoscleromorpha; Homosclerophorida; Plakinidae. The record is from RefSeq and is a predicted model, not a curated record. The transcript is spliced from 3 exons.